ACCGGAAGCUGUAGUGAGUCAUCUGUGAGCAGAGACGAUCUGUGCGCUCCACCAUCAUCAGCUGUCACACGUUUCAACGUCUUCUUCAUCUCACGUUCACUUUCAGCUGCAGGUUCGAUCCCGGAUCCGGACGUGGUGCGGAUUCAGUCCGAGUUAAGAGCCUGUGACCCGGACUGUUCUCCAGCUGUGUCCCGCUCUCAGCUCCAGAUGUGACGGUGGAUUAAAGUGGAUGACUCAGUGGAUUGUUAGCUACAGUUGUCACGGUAACUGUGGAUCAAACUGAAGGUCAAGCAGUGAAGCAUGAUGGGAGGUGGCAGAUGGACGAGCUGGUCGUGGGCCGAGUGACUGACACACACACCAUGGACCAAGACUUCAGUUUAAAUACACUGAAGAAGCUGGCAGCAGAACCAGACUACACUGACGUGUCACUGACGGCGGCGGAGCGUGUUCGAGCGCUGGGGAAGAUGGGAUUCAGUGUGGAGGUCAACGAUGACAUUACACCACGACGCUACUUCCGCUCCGGUGUGGAGAUGGAGCGCAUGGCGGCGGUGUACCUGGAGGAAGGCAGUCUUGAGAACGCCUAUGUCCUCUAUACCAAGUUUAUCACUCUGUUUGUAGAGAAGCUGCCGAGUCACAGAGAUUACCAGCAGUGCAGCAUUCCAGAGAAGCAGCUCAUCAUGAAGAAACUUCAGGAAGUGGCAUUCCCUCGUAAAGACGAGUUGAAGAAACGUCUUCAGGAGAAAUACAGCAGGGAACACAGCGAGUACCUCAGAGCCCAGAGCCAGCCGGUGGUGUUGGAUGGGUGUGGCCAGCAGCUGCAAUGUCUCUCCCUAUUGGACGAGGACAGGAGGCGGUUCCUGCUGUUGGAGGGGGAGAGGCAGCGUGUCGCCGCCUUGCGUCGGAUGCAGAUCGAAUCAGAACAGUUUCGUUACUUCGAAGACCAGCUGAGGCGUCAGGAACUGGCCAAUAGCAGAGAGGAGGCGACACAAAAGGCGGAGACCAAAGUGCCUGAGGUGACCGACAGCACUCGUCUAUCUCGGCAACCAAUCAGUGAUGCUGUACGAUCCCAGGGGGUGGAUCCAAACAGAAACAGACCUGCUCCUAUCAGCGAACCAGCUGCCACGUUGGCUGGAGUAACUUCUCAGAAGGUGGAAGGUCUGAGGCGGGUUGUGAUUCCCAGAGAUCUGACGUAUCGUUUCCUCCUGUUGGCUGAUUCCAACACGGCCAGAGGAAUAGAAACGUGUGGAGUUCUGUGUGGACGACUGACACACAAUGAGUUUGUGCUGACUCACGUCGUGAUCCCCAAACAGUCGGCCGGUCCAGAUUUCUGCGACAUGGAGAAUGUGGAGGAACUGUUCAGCUUCCAGGACCAACAGAACCUGCUGACGCUGGGCUGGAUCCAUACUCAUCCCACUCAGACCGCCUUCCUGUCUAGCGUCGACCUCCACACUCACUGCUCAUACCAGCUGAUGCUGCCGGAGGCCGUCGCCAUCGUCUGCGCUCCCAAACAUAACGAGAAGACCAGACCGUCUCAUUUCGGUUCGGCCGACUGAGUGGACGCAGCCGUUGGAGGAUGCAGCCGACGUCGGCUGCGUAGAUCGAGUCCUCCACAGGAUGCGACCGCUGAGACACAGCUACACAAAUGUUGUACCUGCUCUUAAAGGGACACGCACAUAAUGAAGUUAGACAUCGGAGAACUGAACGUAAACUGAACAUGAAGAACAUAAACGACGCUGUGGCUUUAACCCCUCCCCCUCCCCCCAGCACUGGCGUGUUCCAGCUCACCGCUCCGGGGAUGUCGGAGGUGUGCGGCUGCAGACUGAAAGGUUUCCACCCUCACUCCAAGGAGCCGCCUCUCUUCACUGUGUGUAAACAUGUGGUGGUGAGAGAGUCAAAGAUCAGCCUGCUGGAC
Molecule: RNA transcript, 1912 nt
Organism: Hippoglossus stenolepis (Pacific halibut)
Lineage: Eukaryota; Metazoa; Chordata; Actinopteri; Pleuronectiformes; Pleuronectidae
Gene: stambpl1
Gene name: STAM binding protein-like 1
Exons: 13
Source: RefSeq, a predicted model, not a curated record